Molecule: ribosomal RNA, 779 nt
Filed under: Escherichia coli
Lineage: Bacteria; Pseudomonadati; Pseudomonadota; Gammaproteobacteria; Enterobacterales; Enterobacteriaceae
Description: partial 23S ribosomal RNA
Rfam family: Bacterial large subunit ribosomal RNA
Source: RNAcentral
GAGUAGGGCGGGACACGUGGUAUCCUGUCUGAAUAUGGGGGGACCAUCCUCCAAGGCUAAAUACUCCUGACUGACCGAUAGUGAACCAGUACCGUGAGGGAAAGGCGAAAAGAACCCCGGCGAGGGGAGUGAAAAAGAACCUGAAACCGUGUACGUACAAGCAGUGGGAGCCUCUUAAUGGGGUGACUGCGUACCUUUUGUAUAAUGGGUCAGCGACUUAUAUUCUGUAGCAAGGUUAACCGAAUAGGGGAGCCGAAGGGAAACCGAGUCUUAACUGGGCGUUAAGUUGCAGGGUAUAGACCCGAAACCCGGUGAUCUAGCCAUGGGCAGGUUGAAGGUUGGGUAACACUAACUGGAGGACCGAACCGACUAAUGUUGAAAAAUUAGCGGAUGACUUGUGGCUGGGGGUGAAAGGCCAAUCAAACCGGGAGAUAGCUGGUUCUCCCCGAAAGCUAUUUAGGUAGCGCCUCGUGAAUUCAUCUCCGGGGGUAGAGCACUGUUUCGGCAAGGGGGUCAUCCCGACUUACCAACCCGAUGCAAACUGCGAAUACCGGAGAAUGUUAUCACGGGAGACACACGGCGGGUGCUAACGUCCGUCGUGAAGAGGGAAACAACCCAGACCGCCAGCUAAGGUCCCAAAGUCAUGGUUAAGUGGGAAACGAUGUGGGAAGGCCCAGACAGCCAGGAUGUUGGCUUAGAAGCAGCCAUCAUUUAAAGAAAGCGUAAUAGCUCACUGGUCGAGUCGGCCUGCGCGGAAGAUGUAACGGGGCUAAACCAUG